AUGGAUUUAAAUAUCGAUAUUAUCGGCGAAAUAUCGCCGAUAAUAUCGAUUUUUCGGGUAAUGGAUAUUUAAACUGGUUUCCGUGUAGUUUUCGUCCAAAUAUCGCGAUAUUAUCGAUAUUAUCGAUAAUAUCGCGAUAUUUUGGAAAUAUCGAGAAAUUUCGUUGAACGGUGCAAUCGGAUUCCGAUAUCGGACGCCGGAGAAGAACGCCGGAGAUGGUGUGCUGUUCCCGAGCCCAUUUCGUCCCAAAAACCUUGCAAAAACACGAAUUUUAACUUAAAUUUCACAUAUAUACUCCAAAUUUCACGCAUGCAUCAACGAUUCAACAUAUGUGAUAUCGGUUUAGGGCUUAGGGUUUCAAUGGAAUCUCACCUGAAAUAUCGAUGACUGGGCCAACUCCUUGCUCAGCGGCGCACCACCAGAGACGACUGAGGGAGAAGAAGAAGGAUGGAGAGACUGAGGGAGAAGGAUGGACGGAGAGACUGAGGGAGAAGGAUGGACGGAGAGACCGAGGGAGAAGGAUCGAGAUCGAGGCUGAGGGAGAAGGAUGGACGGACGACGGAGAGACUGAGGGAGAGAAGGAGAGACUGCGUGUGUGGUGUGUGCGUGUGUGGUCUGCGUGUGUGGUGUGUGCGUGUGUGGUCUGUGCGUGUUUUGCAGAGAAGAAGAGACUGAGGGAGAGAAGCAGAGAAAGGGAGAGCCUGGGAAAGUGGAGAGAAAGAGAGGACUGAGAGAGAAGAUAGAUGUGAAGGAUGGGGAAUCGGGAUGGAGGGGAGGUCACACCACACACAUGGUGUUGAAAUGGGGAAGCAUGCUGCACCUUUUCAAAGUUUCAAUUUCAACCACCCACCCAACCAUGAUUUUUACUUUUAAUUUUAAAAAGUUAAAUAUAACCAUUCAAAAUAUCUUAAGUUAUAUGACUUAAUGUAUUUUUAAAUUUUAGAUUGGUUGGAUAUUCUUUUUACAUUUUAUCAUUCGAUUUAUUUGUGGGCUAACGAGGGAAACCAAACUAGCACAUAUGAACAAUAAUUAGUAAUUUAUUUAGAGUUUUAAUACUCACAUCCUUAUUAAACUCCUAAUUAAUUUUCAAUUCAAACAUUUCAAAUAUAUAAAAAAUAAAAUAAGAAUAAGUUUGUACCCAUUAAUUUUUAUAAAAAAAAAUUGAUAUGUACCCGUUAUAAGAAUAAGUCACUCAUGUAUCUUACCAUGCAAUAUAUAAAGUGUAAAAUAUUGUACUAAUUCAUUAUAUAUAAAUGAUUAUGGUGUGUUUAAACUUCUUUCAUUAAUUACUACAUAUAUAAAUGAUUAAUUACUACAUAUUUUCUACAUUCACAAUGUUUGUCAGCUCGCUAUAUAAUCAACUUGAUAAUGUUAAAUCCAUCAUGCAAUGCAUUUCCUUCCAAUUUUUUGUGAUAAACUAAUAGAUAAUUGACUAAAUAAACAUCCUGCAAAGUUUCAAUAAAAAUUUCCAAGUUUUUCUUACAAUUUCCGUGGUUUCCAUGUAAUUUUUAUAGAUAUCGAUAUUUUAUCGAUAUUUCCGUCGAUAUUUCCGUGUUUUCGGACUACCGAUAUUUCCGAUAUUACCGAUAUUUAAUACCUUGCCAGUGAGUGGGCAGUAUUUUCUGUAUUUACCUAUAUACUAUUGAUUUUUCCCAAAAAUUGAAUUUAAAUGAAAGUAUGUUUUAAAAUGCCAUGCAUACAUAUAUAUGAAAUAUGUUUGUACCAUACUUGACCAAUCUCGAAACUACUGAGCACCAGUCAACGUUAUACCGUCAAGGACCCAGAAGAGUUUCCCUCUAACCAGGAGGCUAAUCACAGCACAACACAUGUCGACAUCAGAAGCCAAUCAUAGCGCGACACGUGUUAACAUCAGAAGCCAAUCACAACACGACACGUGUCAAUGUCAGAAUGAAACUAGAAACUCUCUUCUAUAAAUAGAGAUCAUUCUUUCACAAUAUUUUCGAAUGUUAUUUGUACUAAAUCAUUCACUAGUACUCAUUAAAAGAGAGCUUGAACCUAUGUACUUGUGUAAACUCUUCACAAUUAAUGAGAACUCCUUUACUCCGUGGACGUAGCCAAUCUGGGUGAACCACGUACAUCUUGUGUUUUCUUCCCUGUCUCUAUCCAUUUACAUACUUAUCCACACUAGUGACCAGAGCAAUCUAGCGAAAGUCACAAACUUAAUACUUUCUGUUGUACCAAAGUCCCCACUGAUUUUGUGCAUCAACAUUUGGCGCCGUCUGUGGGAACGACACUUAUUCCCACUAUCUUCAGCUUUGUCAAGCUGGUUUCCACCAUUCGUACACUCUCUUUUAACCAGGCACCCCUCUCCAACAUGGGGAGCGAAGGAAGCCAUAGCACACAGAAUGACACCCCUCUUGCACCUAGUGCGAAGCAAUGAAAGAAGGAAGGAAAAAAGGUUGUUCUUUAAGCUAAAGUCGAUGAGCUAGAAGCUCAAAACAACAAGAUAGCAAUAAAGAAUGAGGUCAUCCAGGAGCAGUAUGAGAAGCUUUUUGAGACGCUCCAUGAAACUAUGCGUACUCAAACACGCGAGCUUGUUGCCCCUGUGGACAUCAACCAUCAUCUGGCUGCCUCCUGACACGGAGGGUCACCUUUAUUUGACAUGGGUAUCUUUGAUGAGGAGCGAGCUAAUCAUCAAAACAUUGAUCAACAUGAGACUUUUCUCAACCCAGUUGCUUCGACCCGAAGCAGGAGAGUGGAGGAAGACACCUCCUUGUAGAAGGGUUGGAAGGAUCAAAAGCCGUUUAUCGUGACUGCCGAGACUUUCUAAAGCAACGUCGAGAGAAUCCCCUCCACAUAUACUCGAAGAUCAAUGACCCAAGGGUUUCUGAAAGACUCGGUCCCCUCCCACAACCCAGGCCAGGUGCCAAUCUAGGGAAGGAACGACAUGUCCUAGAGGAACAUGAAGGUACAUGGGACUCUGAGGUAUUUCGACAGACUCGCCCUAGAAGUCAGUACGGCGAGUCCAAGGAAAAAUCACACGCCCUUGCUCAAAUUUUCCUACUUCUAAGAGGCGAUGGAGACUUACGAAAGAAAAUCCCAAUGGUACAUGACUCCACUCAAGACCCCCUUGUCCUACAGCUCUUUGAGGAAGUAAACAAGUUGAAGGCCGAACGUCAGGCCGAGAUACCUGACUGGAACCAACCCAGGCUUGGCCCUCUCACAAGGAAGAUCCUUGACACCCCCUUCAAGCGAAGACAAAACAAAAGCUUGGUUUACAACUCUAUACUGGAAGGGAGGACCCAAUUGAACACCUUAACCUCUUUGAGUCCACCAUGGGCAUAUCGGAUGCACACCGACGAAGAGCGAUGACUUCUCUUCCCCUUUACCCUCUCUGGUGAAGAUCUAAACUGGUAUUGCUGUCUUCCACCUGAGACAAUAGACUCAUUUGAGGAACUAAGGAAACUGUUUGUCUCUCAACAUAUCUUCCAGACCGAUUGCUUGCAUUCUUAGAUGACUUGUACACUAUUCGCCAGAAGCCGGAUGAGUCACUACGAGAGUAUGCUGGUCGUUUUAGCCAUGAGUAUUCUCACUGUGCUGAGGCAGAUGAUAAGACCGCCCUCAAGGCCUUCACGGCAGGCCUACGUGAUUGUUUCUUCAAGUACAUGAUCAAUGCCAACACUUGGAAGACUUACUCAGAGGUGAUGGCACAUGCUUACAACCAUGCCUCCGCUGAGGCAAUGACAUAUCAAGGGAAACCCCCCACAACCACCCCUUAUCAGCAAGUAGGGAGUGGAAGCCAGAU
This 3766-nucleotide long non-coding RNA is filed under the name Malus domestica (apple). RNAcentral describes it as "long non-coding RNA (MDOM_LNC018375)". Lineage: Eukaryota; Viridiplantae; Streptophyta; Magnoliopsida; Rosales; Rosaceae. The record is from RNAcentral.